RNAcentral lists this transfer RNA (84 nucleotides) under Bacteroidia bacterium. Its description in RNAcentral is "tRNA-Leu". It matches the Rfam family "tRNA". From Rfam's summary of the family: Transfer RNA (tRNA) molecules are approximately 80 nucleotides in length. Their secondary structure includes four short double-helical elements and three loops (D, anti-codon, and T loops). Further hydrogen bonds mediate the characteristic L-shaped molecular structure. tRNAs have two regions of fundamental functional importance: the anti-codon, which is responsible for specific mRNA codon recognition, and the 3' end, to which the tRNAs corresponding amino acid is attached (by aminoacyl-tRNA synthetases). tRNAs cope with the degeneracy of the genetic code in two manners: having more than one tRNA (with a specific anti-codon) for a particular amino acid; and 'wobble' base-pairing, i.e. permitting non-standard base-pairing at the 3rd anti-codon position. Lineage: Bacteria; Pseudomonadati; Bacteroidota; Bacteroidia. The record is from RNAcentral.
GCCCGGAUGGCGGAACAGGUAGACGCGCCGGUCUCAAAAACCGGUUCAGGCAACUGAUUGUCGGUUCGAUUCCGACUCCGGGUA